This 458-nucleotide ribosomal RNA is filed under the name uncultured bacterium. Its description in RNAcentral is "partial 16S ribosomal RNA". It matches the Rfam family "Bacterial small subunit ribosomal RNA", at positions 338 to 795 of the family's 1533-position model. The record is from RNAcentral.
CCUACGGGUGGCAGCAGUGAGGAAUAUUGGUCAAUGGGCGAGAGCCUGAACCAGCCAAGUCGCGUGAGGGAGUACUGCCCUAUGGGUUGUAAACCUCUUUUGUCGGGGAGCAAAAGCCGGACGUGUCCGGCUGUGAGAGUACCCGAAGAAAAAGCAUCGGCUAACUCCGUGCCAGCAGCCGCGGUAAUACGGAGGAUGCGAGCGUUAUCCGUAUUUAUUGGGUUUAAAGGGUGCGCAGGCGGAUUUUUAAGUCAGCGGUAAAAUCGUGGGGCUCAACCCCAUCCAGCCGUUGAAACUGGGGAUCUAGAGUGUGCGAGAGGUAUGCGGAAUGCGUGGUGUAGCGGUGAAAUGCAUAGAUAUCACGCAGAACCCCGAUUGCGAAGGCAGCAUACCGGUGCACAACUGACGCUCAGGCACGAAAGCGUGGGUAUCGAACAGGAUUAGAUACCCUUGUAGUC